Non-coding RNA from Sus scrofa (pig), 3732 nucleotides. The record is from RefSeq and is a predicted model, not a curated record. NCBI's taxonomy places the organism in Eukaryota, Metazoa, Chordata, Mammalia, Artiodactyla, Suidae.
GGUCCGGCCGCGCGGCGCCGUCGUCACCCUCCUCCUCGCCCGGGCCCGCCGGCCCCGCCUCGCCCGGCCCGGUCCGGUAAACAGGCCCGGCGGGGAGGGCGCGGCGCCGGAGGGCUCCUCUGGUUGGGGCUUCUCCCGGGUUCUUGGCGGCGAACUUGAAGUUCACUGGCUUCUUGUCUUUGUCUGGGUCCGUGAGCCUGCGUGGGUCAGGGUCUCCGGAGGCCGCCGUGCGUGGGCCCGCGGCCUGGGGCCUGGCCUGUGGGCGUCUCUGCGUGUGCACACGCCUUGGGCAGCACCGCCAGUGUUUGUCCUGGAGUCGGAGUCGCGCAGUGCUGGUCUGUCCCUGUGCCUCAGGUGAUGUUGGCCAUGCUUUGCUGCCACGGAGGGGCCUGGGGUUUCCCUGGGCAUUGGACAGCUUGUCCCAGGCUUAGGGUCUAGUUCCGGCGCCAGUGGGGACCGGAGGAGCUUACAGCCUCAUUGUUUCCUUGCUCAGCCUCCACCCUGGAGGGCCCCUCCGUGCUGUGCUCUGUGCCAGCAGUUGGGGGGCACCCUCCAGGGCACACUCCGGCGGAGAGGUGAGCCCCGGGGCCUGGGAGACCUUCCUGGCUUCCCAGAUGGGUGCUCAGUUUCCACAGGUCUGCAGGAGCUGGGAACCAGACUGCACACCCCCACCCCACCCCCGCGCAGCCUCGGCAGCAGACUUGGGAGGCUCUGAGGUCACACCUUCGCCCAUUUCCCUGGGAGAGGUGGUGUUCUUAGCCUGUCUUACAGAUGAGGAGACUGAGGCACAGAGAUGUUAAGUGACCGGUGUGUGGUGCAGCCGGGUUGCUAACCUAGGUGAUGAGGUCAGUGCGUGGCCACAAGGGGCCAGAGCAGAGUGGUCUCCCUCGUGGGCACAGCACCCCUGGCCCGGGGCCUGGCAGGAGCAGGGGAGGUGCCCAGGGAGGCCUGAGGGCCAGAGCACAGCUGGCCAGGGGUGGUGGAGGCUGCCUGCUGAUAUCCUGGCUCCAGGGCGUACAGGGUGGGGCCUCCUGAGCAAAUGGAUGUGGUCCCAGUGCUGAGCCUCUGCCGGGGGCAGGUGCCACCCAGCUGCUCUGCGCCUGCCCAGAGGCAGGGCAGGGUGCCAGGCACUCUCCAGCUGCUGCUGUUCCUGGGACCUCGUCUUGCUCCCGGAGGCUGGAGUGUGCACCUUCGCAGGACCAAAUGGGCAGCAGCCGCGUCCCCCGGGGCUGGGGGACUGGGAGUGGGGGGAGGCCCCUGGAACCCAGAACCCAGAGCCCGCUCUGGCCCUCAGGCUCCGACCCUUGGCCUGGGGUUCUGGGUUCACCACCUCAGGUGCCCCAGCUGGUAGGUGGGUCCAGAUGGACCUGUGGCACCGGCCCUGGGCCCUGCUCACUGAUCUUGGUGCCUGACGACCCUGGUUGUGCAGGAGGGGGAAUCCCUGGGGUGGCAGCCUCUGCCCACCUGCCCACCUGCUGUAGGAGCUGCUGGAACUUCUUCAAGGGGUGCCUACAGCCAGGUGGCUGUGAGUGUCAGGUUACCAGGGAAACCAAGCCAGGCCAGCGCAGGUCUGGAGGACAGAGCUGGCAUUCCCUGAGCCCCUGUGUCACCCUCCUGCAGUGGGGGCUGGGCUGAGGAGACUGGUCCUGGUCCUCCGGAAACAGCCCCAUCCCAGCUCCCCGGAGAGAAGGGACAGUCUGCUGGUGUCCCCCUGGCUGCACUGCUCUGCCGUCCCGGGGCUGAGGCCAGUGUCCUGGGCCCCGAGAUGUUUCCUACCUUUGAGUCAACUCACCUUCUGCAUCCAGAGAGGAAGCCGAGGCAGCUGGGCCACGGCCCUCUGUCCGAGCGACAGGGUGGGAGCCGCUGUUGUGUGUACAGGACCCUGAGGGCUGGGCCCUGAAUCAGGAACUGGGCCUGGCCUGUAGUCCCAGGCACCCCCCCAGUCCCUGGCAGUGGUGGCUGCGGGAGUGACCCCCGCAAGUGAGCCUGGCCGACUCCAUCCUAGGUUUCCUGACCCCAGCAGCUCUGAGGGGGCAGAACCCUGAAACGGGAGGUGGGCGAGGUGGUGGCCAGUAUCCUUUGCUGCCCCUGAGCCCGAGAGAGAGCCCUGAGCCGCCCACCCUGGGGCUCCCAGUCUGGGCCAAGGGCGGGGCUUGCUCUGGGGAAGGCUGAGAGCAGAGGCGGGUCUCCGAGGCCUGUAUGACCCUGCCCGGGAGACCUUGGCGUUGCGCCGCCAGUAGGGGACAGCUCCUGCGCAGAGAGCUGGUCGGGCCUGGAAGGUGGACUCGGGGGAGUGGGUGGGGCGAGGCGUUCCGAUGAGCGUCAGGACUGUUUGUCUUCCUGGUUCUGACUCCUGGCAGUGGGCGGAAGGGCCUGCCCUGCACAAUGGCCGGAGCCAGGCUUGGCCUGCGUGCUGGGGAGGGCUUGGGUGGCUGGAACAGUCCUGCUUCUGUGCAGGCGCUGAGCCAGGCUGGGCCAUGACUCUGCUCUCUUCUGCUUCCUUUCCAGAUGCAGCCGCCUGUCCUGGGAGCCUGGACUGUGCCCUGAAGAGGCGGGCACGGUGCCCCCCGGGCGCACACGUCUGUGGGCCCUGUCUUCAGCCCUUCCAGGAGGAUCAACAGGGACUCUGUGUGCCCAGGAUGCGCCAGCCUCUGGGGAAGGGCUUGCCCCAGCCCAGACUGGAAGAGGAGAUCGACUUCCUGGCCCAGGAGCUGGCUCGGCAGGAGGCUGGGCACGCCAGGCUCCAGGCCCCGCCCCAGCCUGAGGGGCAGCAGCGACUCCUGGAGGCUGGUGAGACCCUGCCGGUUCCCCCUGCCCGUCUCCCCACCACCCUGACCCCAGCCUGGCCUUGCCAUUCUGACUUGCCAUCUCUCUGCAGCAGUCACCUGGGGCUGUCACAGCGUGGCCAGGGCCCAGACCUGGGCCUCCCCUCCACUCAGGGAGCCCCAGCGCCCACACCCCGCACCUCCCUGGGCUCCGCUGUGUCAUCCGGGCCUGUGCACAUGUCCCCCCUGGAGCCGCGGGGUGGGCGUGGGGACGGCCUCGCCCUCGGUAGGUCUGGGCGGGCUGGGAGGCAGGGUCCUGCCUGGGGGACUGCCCUCACCGCGCCCCCUCCUCCAGUGCUGAUCGUGGCCUGCUCCGUGGCCGGCAUAGCCGCCCUCGCUGUGGCUGCUCUCUGCUGGUGUAGGCUGCAGCGAGACAUCCGCCUGACGCAGAAGGCCGACUACAUGGCCCAGCAGGCGCGCAGCUCCCCCGCGACGCCAGGGGUCUCGCCUGGAGACCAGCGGCUGGCGCACAGCGCGGAGAUGUACCACUACCAGCACCAGAGGCAGCAGAUGCGGUGCCUGGAGCGGUAAGAAGCCCUCCCGCCCCCAGCCCGACCCACCCGCCUCGGGGCCUGCUGACCCCACCCCGGGCGGUACCCCCUAACCCGGGCCCCUGGAGCGUGUGGGAGGACCCGGCGCUCCUGCCCCUCACUCAGGCAUAAAGAGCCGCCCAAGGAGCUGGACUCUGCCUCCUCCGACGAGGAAAACGAAGACGGGGACUUCACGGUAUACGAGUGCCCGGGCCUGGCCCCGACCGGAGAGAUGGAGGUGCGGAACCCGCUGUUCGACCACGCCUCGCUGUCUGGGCCCCCGCCGCAGUGACCCGAAGGCCGCAGGACGCGCCGUCCGUCCGCGGGUGGGGAGGGGCGGGGCCUGGCGUUUCCCAUUAAAAAGACCACGUCCUGAC